CCAUCUAUCUAAUGAUGGACACUUAGGUUGUUUCCAUAUCUUGGCUAUUGUAAAUAAUGUUCUAUGAACAUUGGGGUGCAUGUAUCUUUUCAAAUUAGCAUUUUCUUUUUCUUCAAAUAUAUACCCAGGAGUGGAAUUGCCGGAUCACAUGGCAGUUCUAUUUUUAAUUUUCUGAGGAAGUACUUCUUUCAUUUUUAUCCACUGUGUGGAUAGACCACCUUCUAUUUAUCUAUUCAUCAGUUGAUGCACUUGGGGAGGAUUUUAGGACUACUCUGAGCCAAUCUUGAAACCUAUAAAUGACGAGUAACUUUCUCCAUUUCCCGAUCCAGUUGCUAACAUGACAAAACCACUGACUGAAGAAGGUUACGUGCAGGGCCUGUGAAGGUGAGGCGCGCGGUGAGGCAGAAAUGGGACGGGCGUGAGGGAAUCGGGAGCUUCAUCCGCUAAUGAGGAGAGGAAAGUCAAGGUCAUCCAGGGACUCUUUGUGCAAGUGUUAUCGAAAGUGGGGUCUGGCUGCUCACCGCUCAAAAGCCAGUAAAGAGUCAAGGUUGGUGGAAGGGAAAGUUUGCUUUAUUUCGGAGGCUGGCAACCAGGAUGGGUGGGGAGGGCGGACUCGUGUCCAAAGGCCGACUCCCCCAUGGACAAUCAGUGGACAAGAGCUUUUAAAGUGGAGUUUCAGGGGUGUAGAAGCAGAAGAAGGGGGCUACCUGCAGAAACAGCACCGUCAGCUCUGACGGUCAUCUUGAAAUUGGUCCUGCGGUGGUCCGACCAGCAUCAUCUUGAUUGUUCUAAGUACAGUUAGUCUCCAGUUCCAGGGUCGGUUUGUUCCCGUUUCUUUGAGGCCGAUUCUCAGAGCUGUGGCCUCUUACGUCAUGGCUACAUUCUGGUCAUCAUAUAGUUAACUCUUCCACCUGCUGGAGGUUUCAGUGUCUAUAAGAGAGCUCACAGGAUACGGCUCAGAAUAUUAUCUGUAGCCCUUGAGGAGGAAGUAAAGGUCCUUGACUUUGCUUACUGACUAAACUAUUAUUAUUUGGUCUCCUUUGACUGCUUUCCUUUGCUUCUGCAUGUUCUCACUUCUCUGAUUUAACUUAUUCUUCGGCUAAAGAUUUUCUACAGACAGAAGUCAAGCGGAGGACAUGGGGGGCAAGGGCCACACGGUCCUGCUCCGUUUCAUAAGGACUAAAUCUGAACUCUGUCUGCAGCUCUGACCAUGAAGCCAUAAAGCCACAGGCUGAAAGGAGUGCUUGUUCCAGGGGUGGGAGAGAGCCCAGGGGUGGUUUCAAGCUUGUCUCCUAUUUCCCCUGGAAGCCCUGCUGGGAAGCAGCCAACCACACUCCUUCCGGGAACGUGCGUGACCGUCGCUGUCCUUUGCACGACAAUGUGCCAAAUCCUGUUAUUAAUGAAAUGAAUGAUGUCGUUGUCCUUGCUGGCAAAGGCCCACGUUGUACGAAGGUGCACUGCUUCGUGUUUUGCGGGGGUGGGGGCAGGGGUGAGCCAUCCAGACCAUGAGCUCUCUCAGCUCAGCUUUGGGGGGAGGCCCUGGGGGUGCAGCCCGUCCCCUGCAUGCCCUGCACUGCAUCCGAGCUGGAGCAUCUAAGUGCAAAACAAGAAAUGAGGCCAGAGCGCAUCAGAGCUGCGGCUGCGUCCUCUUGGAGGGACAGAUUCGGGGGGGGGGCGGGGGGGGAGACUGUGGUGACGUGUCAGGCUCCCUUAGAGCUGGGCAGGGCUCGCCGCUUGCUGGACAGGCACUGCUGUCCACACUGGGCAUCCUCCCCCGUGUCCCCCCCGCACCGCAUCGCUCCCGUCCACCUCACUCUUUCCUGUCCCCCCUUCCCUGUUCCCAAGGGUGGCCGUCCAGCCGCGUCUUGCUUUCCUCUGGCCCCUUGUCUGCACCCUGCAGCUGCUCAGGAGAGGAAGGGAGAACAGGAGAAAGGAAACUAGACAGAAAUGGGUGUGGUUGAGGCAAGGAGGGCUGAUUAAGGCAAAUACAGACAGAAAUGCAGGAAGCUCCUCAAAGAACAUCAUCUCCGACACACACAUGUGGGCACACCGCACACGCACACACGUGCACACACAUGCAUCCUCCCCUCAUCUUGUCUCCAGGAAUAUUCUAUUCAGGAGUGAGGUCCUCAGGUUUGGAACCAGUUGCCCAGAGUCCUGGUUGAGGAACGCACCUCCACUAGCCUGACGCGUAGCUGGCGGGGCUCUGGGGAAAUCAGCAGAGCCAAGAGCCCCGCCCCCCCAACUCACCAGAGAGCCAGGUGUCAGAGGCUGUGCCCACCUGACAGAGCAGCCACUGCACCCUCAGCAGGAUGGAACAGAUGCUCGGAAAUGCUUGUGUGUGUGGUUAUUCAUUUGGAUGCCCUCCUGCACGCCACUCUCUGAAAAGUUGCAUCGCAUAAGCUGGGACUCCCUCUUCUUAUUGGGCAAGGCCACCCUUUGAUUCUUUUCGUCCCAACAGAGCAAACCACGUUAUCCCAGGAGACUGAGGGGACGGUGUAGUUCUUGCCAAGUGCGUGGGUUCUAGAGCCAGGCUGCCUGGGUUUGAGCCAUGGCCCUGCUACUUAGGAGCUGUGUGGCACUGCACAAGUUACUUAACCUCUCUGUGCCUCAGCUUCCUCAGUAAAAGCUGCUGUUGAGAGUACUUAGCUCCUGGGUUGUGAGGAUGACACCAGUUAGUGUGUAGCUGGUGUGUAGAACAGAGGGUGGCCCACGGCAAUGACUUAACAUGGUAGCUGGUAUGUGAGAGCGUGUGUGGACCAUUCCCUGCGACACAGGGUGUCGCCCACACGAGUUCCAGCUCUCUGCCCUCAGGGAGGCAUCCUGCCCCCCUCAUGGCCUCAGAGGUGGCUUAGCUGGCCUUGCAGGUGGGCAGCCAGGGCUCUGUGAGUCUCGGGGCAACUGGGUAAGGAGGAGGUGAGGUUGUGGGCAGCCAGGGCUCUGUGAGUCUUGGGGUAACUGGGUAAAAGGGGGAGGUGAGGUUUUUAUGCCAUUUGUUGCUUUGCUCGGGGCAGAAGGAAUCCACGGUGACAUCGGUCACAACCUUAUUUUGCAGUUGUGGGAUGUUGGAAGGUAAGCUUUUCCCUAAGCUCCAUGACCUACAGACCCAAGGGGUAUUUAAUGCGGGGGAGUGGGCAUCGCAGGAGACCCAUGGUCUCCUCCCUCAGGGCAGGUCUGUGCCGUGCUCGGAGAAAGGGCGCUAGACUCAGGUGGUCCUGCCUAAACGUCAUCGUCCCGUUCUCUGGAUCCCACCUGCUUCCCAGGGGUUAGGUGGCAUCGUGGCAUCUUGGGUCCUGUACAGGGGACUUUUCAAGGGUCUCCCAUAACAGGUGUAAGGUUAUCUACCUGUAACGGGUGGUAUUGUGGAGACACAGGUGAGAGCUGCCUGCAGAGGGUGACCGCAGCCUUCAGCACCGUGUUUACAUCCUCCUGACAUCAGCCUGGUAGAUGCCAUAUGAGGUCGUUUCCCACGGGGAACUGACGUUUACUCUGCAUGGCCAACCUCACAAGCUAACCUCCGUGGUGCCCACAGUGCCUGUCGCAGGGGAGGGAGGAAGAGGAAGCUUGUGGCAGAGGAAGGUCUGGCGUUAAACAAGGAAGACCACCAUGGAGAAGGAAGUGGCCUGUCCCCUCUGAGGAUGGGAAGUGGGUGUGAGUUGCCGGGGAGGGCGAGGGGACCAGAUUAGGGCGAUGGCAAAGGAGAGCAUCGGGCUGAGGGUGGGAGGGUCCGGCUGGACUCAGGGAGCCUUGAAGUCCCAGCAGAAUCGCUUGACUUGAUUCUAUAGGAAAUGGCAUGGACUUACGUGGGAAGCCACACAGACUUGUCCUCUGGCUGAGGUCUAGCUGGGAAACUUUCCCAGGCGGAGAGAAGGGCACGGGUGGCUCACGCAAGCGGAGAGACACGUAACCAAGCGUGUCCUGCCGGCCCUGUCGCUAAACCAAAUCCUCACGGUGGGGAUUAUCCAUUACUUUGUGUAGUUCUUCAAGUCUCCUAAAUCCUCUUUGUCCCGAGCAUGGCUAAUCCAGGUCUUACAUACACGCGAUGUUUCACAAGCCUUCACAGGACCGUCGUCUUGUCAGGAGGAGAAACGGAAGCUCUGGUUUAGGGGCUGCCCCAGAGUCACCAUGGAGCUGGACAGAGCAGGGGCCACCCGCCCCUUCAUUCAGUGACCUGGCUUUUAAACCUGGUUCUUUCCCAGUAUCUUAGACAGAGAGGAGGAAAGGAUAUACUUAAGAGAGGGCAUUGGGACAAACAGCCAUUUAAAUUGCUUCUGCGUAAAGGUGGGGUGGGAAUUCCUAUUCCCCCGAUAUUCCUUCGGCGGACUGGUGAGCAGAGAGCUGGAGGAAGAGUGAGAGUUUGGCAGGUUCAGAAAGAAAUACACUCAAUCCUUCACCGUGUGGGAUGGAGGGGUGGGGGGAGGAGGGAGAGGUGAACCUGAGAUGGGGGGCCUUGCUGCCUUGGGGGAGGCCUGAAGGUGUGAGGUCCCCGCGCACCUGCCUCUCUCAGGGGACCGCCUUUGCUAAGAGUGUGGGGCGAGGGGCUUGGGCGUCCGGGCCUCCCCCUGGGGGCUGACCCCUCUGACUUUCUCCCCACCCUACCCGGAGCUGCCGCUGCCACCCUUUGCCCUCCUCCUCCCCUGGGUGGCCUCCUGAUUUCCUUCCCUGGGGCCGUGAGAGUGGCCGGGGCACCCGUCCAGGUGAGGAAGCCAGCCUCACGUCCUGGUCCCCAGUAAGUGUGUGAGUGUGAGCACGAGUGUGUGUGGGCCCGGGGCUGGGAUCGCCCACAGAUGAGAGCUCGGGAGUAGAGAGCUUCUAGCGGGUGGGGCCGCCCUGCCGUGGAGCCCGAGGACCUGUCGCUGGGACCCACCACCAACUCCAGCACCCUGAGCGGCCAGAGCACGUGGGGCACCAAGCAGAGGAGCCGGGGAGGCGCGACGGGGGUGAGUGGAGCCCUGGACGCACUGGGUGGGGCUGGGCUCGGGGAGAUGGGGAGAAGCCACGAUGCUCAGAAGUGCUGCAGGCGGAGCGAGAAGAGGCGGACACGGGGGCGGGGGUGGGGGGGCGCGUCCUGCCUCUCUGCCCCUCCCCGCAGAGGCGUGCCGCGCAAUAGCCACGCCCCUCCCCUGGGCCCCCCCGCAAUCUAGACGCAGAGUGAUGGCCGAUGGAAUCUCCCCGAAGGGGACCGUGGGUGGUCGUCCAGUGUCCAAGGGUGGGACAGCGGGGCUGCCAGCCCGUGGCCGGGGGUCCUAGCCCCUCAACUCACGCUGCGGCGGAGGGAGGGCGUGGGCGGAGGGAGGUGGUCUGCACAAGACCCCCAAACCCCAGUUCUACUCCUAGGUGCUCGCGACGGCCCUGGUCCUGGAGAAGCUCUGGAAUAAAUACCCGUGGGCCUUAGAAAACAGAGACCCGAGGCCGGAGUCCUGGUUUCUGGUGCACUGGUCGCUGCCAGUCACCCCCUUCCUAGCCUUCUAUCUGCUCCUGGGGGUGACAGGUCCUCGCCUCGUGUCCCGUCGGGAGCCUCUGAGGCUGGCAGGACCCCUUGCGGCCUACAACCUGGGCCAGGUGCUUCUCUCAGGGGUACACGUUCUAUGAGGUAAGGCCGGUGGGGGGCCCUGCAGUCCUAGGGUCUCUUUUAUGGGGGUGCCAGGGGACAAUUAAAACCACGAUCUUCCCAUGCAGACAGCUGAAAAGCCUUGAUGGGGAUCUACAGGGGCUGGGGUCCUGGGUUAUUUUUGGCUGUGAUAUCUUCCCUAUGGCGAUACAAAUCCCCAUCGCUUACGCCCAUUUUCCUUUUCCUGAAAUAAAAAAGUGGAGGUCGGUGGCAAGCAAGAGUGGAAUGCAUCCUCCACCUGCACCUAAAAACCCACCACUACCUCCUGUUUCUGCCGGGCUCUGCUAAGUUCAGCCCAGUUUUCUGAUCCUUCCUGAUGCCUUGUUCUCGGGCAAAUAGUCCGUCAGCCCAUGUGCACUGGGUGCCUGCUUUGUGCCGGACCUGCAGGGUCACCGCUGCGUGAGGCACUCCGGCCCUCCAGGUGCCGGAGGGCUAGGAGGAGAUGGAUGCAGAAACAGGCGGUUGCAAGUCAGUGCGAGCGGGGCCAUAGAGAGCACGCACCCGGGACAGGGCGGGCGGAGCGGCAGGGACCCUGCUGGGGUGUCCGGAGAAGCUUUUCAGAGAAAGUGGUCCUGGCGGCUGACAUGUAAAGUGGUCACCGCAGCGAGGCCGUGCGCUGCGGCCUUUGUGAAGAUCUGCUCAUCCCACCCUCUGUCACGAGGCACGGUGCAGGUAAGUACCUUGGCAGGUGGCAGGGCGCCCUGGCCGCAAGCUCGCCUCCAUCCUUCCUGCCUCCGUGCCAGCAGGGACCAGGCAGGCGGUCCAGCCUGAGGAAGCAGGUCCGGACAGCUCUGCCUUGUUCGUUCACCAUCUCUCCCUUAGUGAUUGGCCUGCCUUCCUUGCUCCGCACUGCUGCCCAAAUGAUCCUUCCCAGCCACCGGAAGGGUCCUGCCAUGCCCCCAGCGGCCCUGAUGUCUUCCUGGCCAGCAGGGCUGAGGCAAGGCUCCUCCACUGGGUGUACGGGGCCUCCCACGUCCUCUCUGGCCUCAGCUUUCCCUUCCAGCCUCACCUCCCUCCACACCCCGUGGUCGCCCUGCUCACCUGCCUUGCAGCCCCGCUGGGUCAGGCCCAAGGCCCUGGCAACUGACUGUUUUUCUGCCAGAAAUGCUCUUCUCCCCUGGUGCCCAGACAAAUCCCCGCACAUCCUAUAGACUCAGGCCUUUGUCACCUCUUGUGAAGUUUCCCUGAGUCCCCAGGGCUGGGUUAGUUGUCCCAUCACUUGCUUUUCACUUCUGCUCUCCGUGGUGGACGGGCAGCCCCACCAGCUGGCAAGCUCUAAAUGUGAGUGUCUGCAUCUCCCCAGCUCCAAGUUCAGUGACCUCCUUUGAAAUCAGCCAGGGUGGGAGGAUUUGCACCUUAGGAACGGGCAGACACUGCCAGUCAGCCCCUCCCCGCCGAGAGCCUGCUAGGCACUGACCAGCCGCAGCCUUCCCUCUGACCCUCCCCUGUUUCAUCACGUACACGUUUGUCUGUCUCCCCUCCAAAUGGCAAAGUGCUUCGGAAGCACAGCCAUCUCUUAUUCUCUUUGUAAAGACAGGCCCCACAUCACGUCUGGUACCACGUGGAAGAUGCUGAUACCUUGUGAGACAUGUCCUAGGAUUUGCCAUUUAAUUGUGGUGACAGAUGACUGCUGCCACCGCAAUCCUCUGAAAGUCUGCUGUGCCCAUGUUGGCGUCCUGCUCAGAAGCCCUCCGUAGUUCCCUUUGCCAAUAUAACCUGAAUGCAGAGGCCCUCGUGUAGGGAUUUUUAUCUGUUUUAUCAUCGAGGUGGCUCGGGGCUCAGCGCAGGGCCCAGCGUGGAGAAGUGUUUAGGACCAGUCAACGCAUCAUUGUCAAAUGAGUAAACAAAUGAUAAAAUUCAAGUUUCUUAAAGCAGCCUUCAAGACCCCUCGUGAACCGAUUCCGCUCCCUCUCAACUUCUGUGGCUGCCCCUCCCCUGGUAGAAGUCUCCACUUGCAGCCCUGGAGAGUUAGGAGAGGUCCAGACACUCUCCUCCUGGCAGAAAGCUCCCUUUCCCUCCCCUCCAUUUGCCCCCGGCCUCCUCAUUCUCAGCCGGCUACCAACUUCUGGGACGUCUCCUGUUUCUUACUCUUCAUCUGGCCUCAACCUUGAAAGUGAAGAUGGUUUCCUGCAUCCUCAGGGAAGCUCUCAGCUUCUCGGGGGCAGGGGGUGCUGACGUGUGCACGGCUUCAUGUCCCCUCCUGACUUACGGUCUCACACAUGGUAGGUGCCCAGCGUGGGUUUGUGGUCUAUAUUUGCCCCCAUCAGAAAAAAAAUUGGAGACCAGCAAGAUGUAUGCAAGUCCUAGCCUGUGAUCUAGCCAGUGCACAGAGUUUACCCGGUUGGCGAUUGUUCACCAAGUGUCAGUGGGGGUUGGGGAGGGAUGCUGGUGUCCAGAACAUGUCCGGAGGUGGCAGCAGCCUCUCGGGCCUUCAACCGGUCAGGCCCCACCACGGUGAGGGUGGGGCAGGUGUCAUGACUCAAUCUUUUUCUGUUCUCUUCCUGUUAGUUCAUGGCCACCUCGCUCCUGGCUAAUUACAGCUAUUUCUGCCAGCCAGUGGACAACAGCCAGAGUCUUUUUAUUCUACGAAAGAAGCCCGAACAGCUCACCUUCCUGCACGUCUACCACCAUGGCACUGUGCUCCUCAAUGGACAUAUCUGAGGGGCAACAGGAGAAGCUGGCUUAAGGGGCGGGACCAAGGACUGAAGCUAACAGAGCCGUCCCCAGAGAGAGUUUGGUGGAAGAUGGCGUGACUCACGUCCCACUCAUGACGAGCAGAUUCCUCUGGGCCCCGCACUUCAUCCUAUGAGGGAAGGACAAUACUCGCCUCCUUCCAGAGUUGAGGAGAACAGAAAUGGACCAGCUUCCUGAACUCACUUCUCCUGUGGAUUUGUCACUGUUUGUACACCUCCUUCCUCUACUAGACAUGAUCCCCCCACAGGAGGGAUCGUCUUACUCUCAAUGUUUCCCAGACCUGGCACAGCAACUCAAUAAAUGUGCAUUUAGAUCCCAAUCUUCCCCCACUGGCAGUCGUGGCCUCUGAUGAGAAGCAGGGCUGAGAGCAGCAAGGAAGUCAGGGUUGGCUUGAUCUCUCACCUUGCAGGCUGGGUCAAUGACCGAGAACAUCCAAGGAGUGCGGGUCUGUGUGAUUUCUAGCAUGGUUGUGCAAACGGUCCCCCUGCAUAUCUCUCUGUCUGUUCAUGAGUGCCCACACAUGUAUUUACAUAGUUGUAUGAUUCUGUGUGUGAGCAUGGGGGGGCGGAGAGGGCUACACAUAUAUGUCUGACUACUUGUUUUCAAAUCCCAUGUGUGUUUCUGUUUAUGAUCUUCUCUGUUGAUGUUUCUUUGCUUGCCUCUUCCGUAAAUCUCGGAAAAUGCCACACUAGCAAAUAAAAGCUAUUGGGAUCCGUAACUUUCCUCUCCCAAUGGGAGACAUGGAUGUCCACAAGAGGUCUCCGAAUACAUGUUCCACGGAGAGCCUCCCAAAAGGGAUGUGAGUAAAGGAGGGGUGGGGUUAAACAAACGCAGCCAUCCACUUCACAGAGAGAGAAAGAGAGGACCAGCAAAAGGAAGUGUACAACUGAGGUCGCGUGGGAUGUUGGAAGCAGACAUCUGCUGCGCUGUUUAUGACCGGAACUGGAUGGGAGCCUGGAAUGCAGUUUUCCUGGGAGCUGCCUCUAUGCUUGCAGGAUGCUGUUCUCCUUUAUAAUCUCCCCCCGUACUCUUCUCCUUCACUCGGGAAGUUCUUAUUUUGCCGUAAGAACUCAACAGUCAAGAACAUUAAAGACCUGCUGAAGUUUCUGCAAGGCUAUUUGUGGACUAUUUAUCUAUCCAUCAGGUACUCUAGUUAAUUACCUCAAGGCCAGGCAGGGCUGCACCCUGUGGGCAGAAUACUCAGAGAAAAUUCCCUCCCAGUUAUGCAGGAUAUGAACGCCUCCCACACACUUUUCCACAGCAGGUUGAGUGCCUUCGCAGGUGGGGGCUUAUUUUAAGGCAAUCAUUUUUUUCUUUUUUUCUUUACUGCAUAAGAGUAAGGUCUGUUCGUUUGCUUAGCAGCCAGGAUAAGGGAAAGAGGAGUCACCCCAGAGUUCAGAGCUAACAUUUGUCCUCUGUGGCUGCCUCUGACUGAUUAGCACAAGAGGAAACGCUGUGUCCUGGAUCAGCUCUGAAUGAAAUAAGGUUUUGGCAGAGAGAGCCCAGCAUUAAGCGGCAUGGUGGAGAGGGUUUGGGGAAAAAUUCUCAGUGAGCUGAAAGCGUCCAUCCUUAUUUUAACCUGCAUUUUACUGUAAUGACCUCAUUCACGGCUGCUGGGCGGGAUGUUGUAUAUUGGUGUAGAGAGGUUGUGUGAAAUUAUAAAACACAAAGUUAUUUGUAUUUGUCAGAACGCAGCCAGAUUCCUAAUUAACAUGGCAGAAGUUCACGUCUAUGAACUUUUGAAGAUAAUGGAAAUCAGGAGUGCUGGUUAAAUUUUUUUUUUUUUUU
Long non-coding RNA from Orcinus orca (killer whale), 10093 nucleotides. RefSeq lists it as uncharacterized. The record is from RefSeq and is a predicted model, not a curated record. Lineage: Eukaryota; Metazoa; Chordata; Mammalia; Artiodactyla; Delphinidae. The transcript is spliced from 4 exons.